This 497-nucleotide ribosomal RNA is filed under the name uncultured bacterium. RNAcentral's name for it is "partial 16S ribosomal RNA". It matches the Rfam family "Bacterial small subunit ribosomal RNA", at positions 28 to 507 of the family's 1533-position model. The record is from RNAcentral.
GAUGAACGCUGGCAGCGUGCCUAAUACAUGCAAGUCGAGCGAACAGACGAGGAGCUUGCUCCUCUGACGUUAGCGGCGGACGGGUGAGUAACACGUGGAUAACCUACCUAUAAGACUGGGAUAACUUCGGGAAACCGGAGCUAAUACCGGAUAAUAUAUUGAACCGCAUGGUUCAAUAGUGAAAGACGGUUUUGCUGUCACUUAUAGAUGGAUCCGCGCCGCAUUAGCUAGUUGGUAAGGUAACGGCUUUCCAAGGCAACGAUGCGUAGCCGACCUGAGAGGGUGAUCGGCCACACUGGAACUGAGACACGGUCCAGACUCCUACGGGAGGCAGCAGUAGGGAAUCUUCCGCAAUGGGCGAAAGCCUGACGGAGCAACGCCGCGUGAGUGAUGAAGGUCUUCGGAUCGUAAAACUCUGUUAUUAGGGAAGAACAAAUGUGUAAGUAACUAUGCACGUCUUGACGGUACCUAAUCAGAAAGCCACGGCUAACUACGUG